Molecule: long non-coding RNA, 439 nt
Organism: Syngnathoides biaculeatus (alligator pipefish)
Lineage: Eukaryota; Metazoa; Chordata; Actinopteri; Syngnathiformes; Syngnathidae
Exons: 4
Source: RefSeq, a predicted model, not a curated record
AGACGUCACACUGCGGAAGCGGGUAUACCCGCUGAAACGCCGUCUAUUUUGAGCGACUUUCAAGCCCGGCAAAGCCAAUGGAGAAACAUGCUGCGCAUAUUGCAGGCCAUUGAUCGAGCACCUGCUGUAUGGCAGAUUUUUAAUCAACCAUUUUUUUCAUGGGUUUGUACACGGGGUCUGGAGCAUAUCCCCUGUGAUAAAACGGAGGGACUGUAGUAGUGCAUACUGACUGUUACUGUACAGGUUUUGAUCUUUUCAUCCCAAAAAUGACUCUCAUCUGCUUCUAUGACAUGUGUUUUGCCGAGCUGUGCGAGUAGCCAAGGGCCAACAGCGCCGUCUCCACCAGCUGGGAGAAGAGAAUGUCCUUCCGCACCAGAACAAACUCCGCAUGCUCCUCCCUUCCGUCACAUCCGUCGGCCUGGAUCCCUCCAUCCGUCUG